GACGAACGCUGGCGGCGUGCCUAAUACAUGCAAGUAGAACGCUGAAGGAGGAGCUUGCUUCUCUGGAUGAGUUGCGAACGGGUGAGUAACGCGUAGGUAACCUGCCUGGUAGCGGGGGAUAACUAUUGGAAACGAUAGCUAAUACCGCAUAAGAGUAGAUGUUGCAUGACAUUUGCUUAAAAGGUGCAAUUACAUCACUACCAGAUGGACCUGCGUUGUAUUAGCUAGUUGGUGGGGUAACGGCUUACCAAGGCGACGAUACAUAGCCGACCUGAGAGGGUGAUCGGCCACACUGGGACUGAGACACGGCCCAGACUCCUACGGGAGGCAGCAGUAGGGAAUCUUCGGCAAUGGACGGAAGUCUGACCGAGCAACGCCGCGUGAGUGAAGAAGGUUUUCGGAUCGUAAAGCUCUGUUGUAAGAGAAGAACGAGUGUGAGAGUGGAAAGUUCACACUGUGACGGUAUCUUACCAGAAAGGGACGGCUAACUACGUG
RNAcentral lists this ribosomal RNA (495 nucleotides) under uncultured bacterium. RNAcentral describes it as "partial 16S ribosomal RNA". It matches the Rfam family "Bacterial small subunit ribosomal RNA", at positions 28 to 507 of the family's 1533-position model. The record is from RNAcentral.